AUGAUGGAUAAAGGAAAAGAUAGUUGCAACCUCGGUAUGAUGUCUCCCUUAACUGCAUCAAUCUCGGAUGUGCUCAUAGGGGUGUGCAUCCCAUACCAUGUUUCAGACCGGGAAGCGCAAUUGGCUGUAGUUCGUUGCCGUACGUCCCUAGGAGUAACCAUGUCUUGCAUCGUGGCUGCACGUCGCUGGAACGCAGGGAGCGCCAUGGCAACAUGGAAACACCGACAAAAGCAGCAAGUCUGCGGCACUAUCGAAGAUGGUGGCCAUGUCCUGCUCCCGACAGAUGUCCUGCUCGAGAUUGUGGCACGCUCCGACCUUUGCACAGUUGUCCGUUGUGUGGCUGUCUGUAAGCACCUUCGUCGUGAUAUCCUAAGCCCGCCGUUCAUCCAUCGAAUCGCCAAGCUGACGGCUCCCUGCAUCCUCGCCGAUAUCUCCACCUACGACAAGGAACUCCUCUCCCUGGUUCACCCGGCUACAGCUGGCGCCGCGUCCUUCUGCCAUAACCAACUCUCGCCUUUCAUUGGCCGUAAUGCUGACACAGACUUCCUCCUCCCAGGAAGCCUCAUAUGUGUGUACGACCCCAUGACCGGCUGCCGCAGCUUCCUCUCUAGGCCGCAGGUUAUCCAGGGCAACCAUUACUCCGUCCGAGUAUACAUCCUGCUGACCGCCGCCGAUGGCAUCAACGACACCAUGCUGCUCGCUACCGAUCUCAGUGGACAUAGCAUCCAAGUACAGAUUGCAACAUCUUCCUCUGAGUUGUAG
RNAcentral lists this ribosomal RNA (762 nucleotides) under Triticum aestivum (bread wheat). RNAcentral describes it as "partial small subunit ribosomal RNA". Lineage: Eukaryota; Viridiplantae; Streptophyta; Magnoliopsida; Poales; Poaceae. The record is from RNAcentral.